This 73-nucleotide transfer RNA is filed under the name Planctomycetota bacterium. It matches the Rfam family "tRNA". Rfam says of the family: Transfer RNA (tRNA) molecules are approximately 80 nucleotides in length. Lineage: Bacteria; Pseudomonadati; Planctomycetota. The record is from Rfam by way of RNAcentral.
GGGGACGUAGCUCAGUCGGGAGAGCGCCGGCUUUGCAAGCCGGAAGUCGUCGGUUCGAGUCCGAUCGUCUCCA